Candidatus Falkowbacteria bacterium CG1_02_37_44 is the source of this 390-nucleotide non-coding RNA. The record is from Rfam. NCBI's taxonomy places the organism in Bacteria, Candidatus Falkowiibacteriota.
GGGGAUGCCAGGCAUCGAUAAUAAAGCCCUUUUAAAGCAUUCAGAACGUGAUUUCCGGUGUUCACGCAAAUCAGGCCGGAAAAUAAAUAAGUGCAAAAACAUUUGCCAGCAAGGUGAAAGCUGCAUUUAGCAUGCCGACCUUUGCUCCUGUUGCCGCUUAAUUGCCGCAACCAUCCGCUCCGGCGAUUCCUAAUAACCGGAAGCGGGUGUCAAUUUAUUAGGAUAGGUUAAACAAAGUUCUCGGUGUUUAGCCGAAACCAAUAGAACUAGCUAUGGCUGAUUUUGUUCGGUUUUCUACAGCCAUGGCGAAAUACAAAAACCGCGCUAUUUCUGUAAAUAUGCUUUAUGAGAAUUUAUUAGACGCGGGUUCAAAUCCCGCCAUCUCCACCG